This 500-nucleotide ribosomal RNA is filed under the name uncultured bacterium. RNAcentral's name for it is "partial 16S ribosomal RNA". It matches the Rfam family "Bacterial small subunit ribosomal RNA", at positions 30 to 523 of the family's 1533-position model. The record is from RNAcentral.
AUUGAACGCUGGCGGCAUGCCUUACACAUGCGAGUCGAACGGCAGCACGGGAGCAAUCCUGGUGGCGAGUGGCGAACGGGUGAGUAAUAUAUCGGAACGUGCCCAGUCGUGGGGGAUAACGUAGCGAAAGCUACGCUAAUACCGCAUACGAUCUAUGGAUGAAAGCGGGGGAUCGCAGGACCUCGCGCGAUUGGAGCGGCCGAUACCAGAUUAGGUAGUUGGUGAGGUAAAAGCUCACCAAGCCGACGAUCUGUAGCUGGUCUGAGAGGACGACCAGCCACACUGGGACUGAGACACGGCCCAGACUCCUACGGGAGGCAGCAGUGGGGAAUUUUGGACAAUGGGCGCAAGCCUGAUCCAGCAAUGCCGCGUGCAGGAUGAAGGCCUUCGGGUUGUAAACUGCUUUUGUACGGAACGAAACGGUGAGCUCUAAUACAGUUUGCUAAUGACGGUACCGUAAGAAUAAGCACCGGCUAACUACGUGCCAGCCGCCGCGGUAA